Molecule: unclassified non-coding RNA, 202 nt
Filed under: Hevea brasiliensis (rubber tree)
Lineage: Eukaryota; Viridiplantae; Streptophyta; Magnoliopsida; Malpighiales; Euphorbiaceae
Source: RNAcentral
GAUCUUCUGUACUUGCCUGGAAAUUCAAAAACAGGCUACAUAUGAGCGAAUACAAAACACAUAAUGGCAAAUUUUACUGGAAUCAAGCUCCAACAGAACAAAAACAACAUCUACAAAAUAAGCUCUACACCUUGCACAUUGAUCCAACAAAAUAAAUUAACACUUUACAUUAGAUGGAGAGGACAUCAACCGCAAAAAUGAG